This is a long non-coding RNA of Tachysurus fulvidraco (yellow catfish), 1831 nucleotides long. RefSeq lists it as uncharacterized. Lineage: Eukaryota; Metazoa; Chordata; Actinopteri; Siluriformes; Bagridae. The transcript is spliced from 3 exons. The record is from RefSeq and is a predicted model, not a curated record.
UAGGUAUUUCUCUACAUAUUGUGACCUAAGAAUGUCCUGCUGAUGAAGAACGUGCUCUAAUAACAGCCAUAAAGAGAGUGCAGACUGUCCCCAAUGUCUCCAGCAGGGGUCUUACCGACCACAUUAUUAGCUCCUUAAGCUAAUGAGACCCCCUUAACGCUUCCUGAAUUUGGGCCGGUUUGGUCCAGAGGGCAAUGGAGAAGUGCAGAAGUCUCCAGCUGUGUGUGUGUGUGUGUGUGUGUGUGUGUGUGUGUGUGUGUGUGUGUGUGUGUGUGUGUGUGUGUGUGUGUGUGUGUGUGUGUGUGUCUCGACAGGGGUUGCGAGUUCAGGGUUUUAUGGGCUGGUACGUCCUGUUCUGACACUCAAUUUUACUCAGGGAAAUGUUUCCCAAGGCUCAAGCUGCCACUCAACCAACACCCUACUAGAGUGAGAGCGUGAUUUUAAUUCAGGAGAUUCAAAUAAGGAUGCAUCUGGUGAGCUAGUUUUCACGAGAUGCCCCCAAGACCUCAGACUUCAACAUUUCCUCAGACUUCAGUCAAUAAGAUGCAGCGUUGUGCUCAUUUCCCGUGCUAAUCCUCCAGCUGCAGCGCCGGCUGGAUGUUUAAACAACCUUUUCCGAAAUGAAUCAUUAGAGGCGUAGGUCAAGUUGGAAAAUAUAUCUCUCAAUCCGACGGUUCUCGUUAACCGUCCCGAUCACAAACGGCACUCUGCAGCCAAGAGCUGAUUGCAGAAUUUUAGGAAUACAGGAAUGUGUAACAGGAGCUUGGGAAACAGAGAUGGCUGAAGGAUUGCAGGAGGACAUCAAUAGGCUCUGAUCUCAGACAAAAGAAGCUGAUGUCUGCCCUACUUGAAAUUCUUAAAGUGCUAUGCAUAAGUAUUCACCCCCUUGAACUUUUCUACAGUUUGUACAAUUUAAACUCUGAACUGAAAUAGACCAGGGUUUAUUUGCAAUAACAUCGAAUCGGACGGGAUUUCAAUUCCGAGUCGGAUAAUCAGUGACAAUUAGAGACUUUACCUUAGCAAACAGCAUCAUGAUUUUUAAGAAGCUAUCCAAACAAAUCUGGGACAGAGUUUUGGAAAAGUAUCAAUCAGGGUUUGGUUAUAAUAAACUUUGAUCAUCUCACAGAGCAUCAUUAAAUCAAUUAUUAAAAAAAAAAGAAAGAAAGAAAAGAACAACAUUGCACAACCAAAACCCUGCCUUGAAGGGAUUAGUCAGAGAAGCAGCCAUUACUUCUGCUAACACUUUUACCAUUUUUAUUUUUAAAUCCUUUUCCAGUUUCUGUUGUUUCAGUUACAUGGAUAUUUUGUGCAGAUUCAUGUCAUAUAAUCCAAGUACAAUAUACAGGAACGUUCUGAGGGGUGAAUACUUAUGCAAACUAUUGUACCACAGAGAAACCCAUGAGAAAAUAGGGUUUAUUACAUGAACUCUGAUCAGAGAUGUGCAUGUCAGUCAUGUUUGUUUAAGGUAAAUCUCACAGUCCUCAGCUAUGAUUACUGAGACAAAUUCACAGGUUCCCAUUAAAAGCGAAGGCGUUGGUGAUAAAGCGAGCUGCCAGUAAAGCGCUUGUUCCAGCACGUCUCAGAAAUACAGUCACUAAACAAUCUACAGCCUGCUAAGAUAUCCUUUAGAGCCGAAAUAAAAAAAAGCCACAUUAAAAUACCCGUAAUACUCAGCAACAUGGGAGUAGUUUAACCCCCGACUACAUCGGCUACACAUCAACUACAUCCCAGUUCAUCUAUAUUACACAACCAUGAUUACAGCGUACAGAGCGUUAACACAGAUCACACCGAAACAUCUCAGAGGCAGGAAGCAGGGACAGAUAGACAGUAG